Molecule: ribosomal RNA, 253 nt
Filed under: uncultured Paracoccaceae bacterium
Lineage: Bacteria; Pseudomonadati; Pseudomonadota; Alphaproteobacteria; Rhodobacterales; Paracoccaceae
Description: uncultured Rhodobacteraceae bacterium partial 16S ribosomal RNA
Rfam family: Bacterial small subunit ribosomal RNA
Source: RNAcentral
UACGGAGGGGGUUAGCGUUGUUCGGAAUUACUGGGCGUAAAGCGUACGUAGGCGGAUCAGCAAGUAUGGGGUGAAAUCCCGGGGCUCAACCCCGGAACUGCCUCGUAAACUGUUGGUCUUGAGUUCGAGAGAGGUGAGUGGAAUUCCGAGUGUAGAGGUGAAAUUCGUAGAUAUUCGGAGGAACACCAGUGGCGAAGGCGGCUCACUGGCUCGAUACUGACGCUGAGGUACGAAAGUGUGGGGAGCAAACAGG